This 254-nucleotide ribosomal RNA is filed under the name uncultured bacterium. RNAcentral's name for it is "partial 16S ribosomal RNA". It matches the Rfam family "Bacterial small subunit ribosomal RNA", at positions 524 to 776 of the family's 1533-position model. The record is from RNAcentral.
CACGUAGGGGGCAAGCGUUGUCCGGAUUUAUUGGGCGUAAAGAGCUCGUAGGUGGUUCGGUAAGUCGGGUGUGAAACCUCCAGGCUCAACCUGGAGACGCCACCCGAUACUGCUGUGACUGGAGUCCGGUAGGGGAGCGUGGAAUUCCUGGUGUAGCGGUGAAAUGCGCAGAUAUCAGGAGGAACGCCAGCGGCGAAGGCGGUUCUCUGGGACGGUACUGACGCUGAGACGCGAAAGCGUGGGGAGCGAACAGG